RNAcentral lists this ribosomal RNA (245 nucleotides) under uncultured Lactobacillus sp. RNAcentral describes it as "partial 16S ribosomal RNA". It matches the Rfam family "Bacterial small subunit ribosomal RNA", at positions 116 to 355 of the family's 1533-position model. Lineage: Bacteria; Bacillati; Bacillota; Bacilli; Lactobacillales; Lactobacillaceae. The record is from RNAcentral.
CGUGGGUAACCUGCCCAAGAGAUCGGGAUAACACCUGGAAACAGAUGCUAAUACCGGAUAANAACAGAUGAUGCCUAUCAACUGUUUAAAAGAUGGUUCUGCUAUCACUCUUGGAUGGACCUGCGGUGCAUUAGCUAGUUGGUAGGGUAACGGCCUACCAAGGCGAUGAUGCAUAGCCGAGUUGAGAGACUGAUCGGCCACAUUGGGACUGAGACACGGCCCAAACUCCUACGGGAGGCAGCAGC